CGCCAGUGUAAAUAACUGGUGAAGAAAGGGCCGGGCAAGACCGGUGCCAGCCGCCGCGGUAAUACCGGCGGCUCGAGUGGUGGCCACUAUUACUGGGCUUAAAGCGUCCGUAGCUGGAUUGUUAAGUCUCUUGGGAAAUCCACCGGCUCAACCGAUGGGCGUUCAGGAGAAACUGGCAAUCUAGGGACCGGGAGAGGUGAGAGGUACUCCAGGGGUAGGAGUGAAAUCCUGUAAUCCUUGGGGGACCACCUGUGGCGAAGGCGUCUCACUAGAACGGCUCCGACAGUGAGGGACGAAAGCUGGGGGAGCAAACCGGAUUAGAUACCCGGGUAGUCCCAGCUGUAAACGAUGCGCGUUAGGUGUAUCGGUGACCACGAGUCAUCGAGGUGCCGAAGGGAAACCGUGAAACGU
Molecule: ribosomal RNA, 411 nt
Filed under: uncultured archaeon
Lineage: Archaea
Description: bacterial SSU rRNA
Rfam family: Archaeal small subunit ribosomal RNA
Source: RNAcentral